This 315-nucleotide ribosomal RNA is filed under the name uncultured eukaryote. Its description in RNAcentral is "partial 18S ribosomal RNA". It matches the Rfam family "Eukaryotic small subunit ribosomal RNA", at positions 1470 to 1796 of the family's 1831-position model. The record is from RNAcentral.
CCCUUAGACGUUCUGGGCCGCACGCGCGCUACACUGACCAGUGCAACAAGCAUCCGUCCUUGGCCGACAGGCUCGGGCAAUCUUUGAACGCUGGUCGUGAUGGGGAUAGACUUUUGCAAUUUUUGGUCUUCAACGAGGAAUUCCUAGUAAACGCAAGUCAUCAACUUGCAUUGAUUACGUCCCUGCCCUUUGUACACACCGCCCGUCGCACCUACCGAUUGAAUGGUCCGGUGAAGCCUCCGGAUUGGCGCGCACCUCGGUGCCGCCGAGAAGUUGGCUAAACCUUACCAUUUAGAGGAAGGUGAAGUCGUAACC